AUUGAACGCUGGCGGCAGGCCUAACACAUGCAAGUCGAGCGGAGCGGCGGACGGGUGGGUGAUACAUAGGUAGCUGCCUGCUAGUGGGGGAGAACGAUCGGAAACAGACGCUAAUACAGCAUGCUAGCAGUCGGGCCUGGGCGGGAUUAGCUAGUGGGUGGGGUAAUGGCUCACCCAGGCUACGAACCGUAGCUGGUCUGAGAGGAUGAUCAGUCACACUGGAACUGAGACACGGUCCAGACUCCUACGGGAGGCAGCAGUGGGGAAUAUUGGACAAUGGGCGAAAGCCUGAUGCAGCCAUGCCGCGUGUGUGAAGAAGGUCUUCGGAUUGUAAAGUACUUUAAGUUGGGAGGCGUUACCGGCAGAAUAAGCACCGGCUAACUCUGUGCCAGCAGCCGCGGUAAUUC
RNAcentral lists this ribosomal RNA (407 nucleotides) under uncultured bacterium. RNAcentral's name for it is "partial 16S ribosomal RNA". It matches the Rfam family "Bacterial small subunit ribosomal RNA", at positions 30 to 526 of the family's 1533-position model. The record is from RNAcentral.